GCGUUCCGCAAUAUGACGGAGUGUAAAUGCCUAAGUAUCAGACUUACCAUAGCUUGAUACAUAGGCAUUUACACUCCGUCAUAUUGUAGAACGCA
Medicago truncatula (barrel medic) is the source of this 95-nucleotide microRNA precursor. It matches the Rfam family "MIR5274 microRNA precursor family". NCBI's taxonomy places the organism in Eukaryota, Viridiplantae, Streptophyta, Magnoliopsida, Fabales, Fabaceae. The record is from Rfam.